Molecule: long non-coding RNA, 498 nt
Filed under: Gallus gallus (chicken)
Lineage: Eukaryota; Metazoa; Chordata; Aves; Galliformes; Phasianidae
Description: lncRNA (ENSGALG00010030043.1)
Source: RNAcentral
GGCUCAUCCCAUCUUCCUGUUUAUUUCUGAUGAGAGCAAUGACCGCGUCUGCACGGCGCGUCCCAGCCCUGCGUGCUCACAGCCACAUCCAGCCGGGCCCAGCUGUCCCUCGAGGGGAUGCCACGUAUCCCCCCCAGCCAUUGGGAUCCAUUGGGGUCUGGUUUUCCUCCACUCUGCGUCUCCCCAGCACGAUGGCUGUGCUCAGCCCCAGUGGCUGUGCAAAGCUUCUGUGUGGAACGAGAUUUAAAGCAGCGCAGCAAAGAGGUGAUAGAAAAACCAAACUCUAUUAAAAACCCAUUUUCUGCAGGCUCUGCCCACCCACCCUGCCACGGUGCUGUGGGUGGGUGCCGGUGCUGUGGCAACAUGGGGGCACUUCGGUGGCGAUGGGGCACAGAGGCUCUGCCCAUCCAUCCCCAGAUGGGGGUCCAUCUCCCCUCCAUGGGGCUGAGCGAGAUGAAGGAAGGCCAGGGCGCGUUUCUGCCCCCUGAAGUACUCUUC